RNAcentral lists this ribosomal RNA (253 nucleotides) under uncultured bacterium. RNAcentral describes it as "partial 16S ribosomal RNA". It matches the Rfam family "Bacterial small subunit ribosomal RNA", at positions 524 to 776 of the family's 1533-position model. The record is from RNAcentral.
UACAGAGGGUGCGAGCGUUGUCCGGAAUCACUGGGCGUAAAGGGCUCGUAGGCGGUUUGUCGCGUCGGGAGUGAAAACUCAGGGCUCAACCCUGAGCGUGCUUCCGAUACGGGCAGACUAGAGGUAUGCAGGGGAGAACGGAAUUCCUGGUGUAGCGGUGGAAUGCGCAGAUAUCAGGAGGAACACCGGUGGCGAAGGCGGUUCUCUGGGCAUGACCUGACGCUGAGGAGCGAAAGCAUGGGGAGCGAACAGG